Agrilus planipennis (emerald ash borer) is the source of this 439-nucleotide long non-coding RNA. RefSeq lists it as uncharacterized. The record is from RefSeq and is a predicted model, not a curated record. Lineage: Eukaryota; Metazoa; Arthropoda; Insecta; Coleoptera; Buprestidae. The transcript is spliced from 3 exons.
UUCACAUGUUUUUCCCGUGUGAGACCGGGGUACGAAUAGUCUCACCGCUGAGUCUCGGCGUGUCGUAGGAGGCGACAAAACGAGACAAAUUCUGGGAUUUCGAUAGAGAUCCCAGCUACGUUAGACAAAGCUAGCUCAUGGCUCAGUCUAAUGUGUGCUGCAAAUGUUUUAUCGGAUUGCUACUAUCGGCAUACUAAAUGGUUAGGACAGUCUCACCGCGGAGUCUCGGCGUGUAGCAAGAAGCGACAAAACGAGACAAAUUCUGGGAUUUCGAUAGAGAUCCCAGCUACGUUAGACAAAGCUAGCUCAUGGCUCAGUCUAAUGUGUGCUGCAAAUGUUUUAUCGGAUUGCUACUAUCGGCAUACUAAAUGGUUAGGACAGUCUCACCGCGGAGUCUCGGCGUGUAGCAAGAAGCGACAAAACGGGACAAAAUCUGGGA